CAGAGAUAUGCCCUCCGGGGCAGACCUCCCACCCUGUAUAAUUUACUCUUGUUGCUUUGGCAGGCCGCCUUCGGGCCCCCGGCUCUUUGCUGGGGAGCGCCUGCCAGAGGACCCCAAACUCUGAAUAUUAGUGUCGUCUGAGUACUAUAUAAUAGUUA
This 158-nucleotide unclassified non-coding RNA is filed under the name uncultured Helotiales. RNAcentral describes it as "sequence contains ITS1". Lineage: Eukaryota; Fungi; Ascomycota; Leotiomycetes; Helotiales. The record is from RNAcentral.